UGAUGGAAGCAACCAACUCUUGUGCGCGAGGGCGCGUGGCCCCGUGAACGCGCUUGCGUGA
This 61-nucleotide small nucleolar RNA is filed under the name Trypanosoma cruzi. RNAcentral describes it as "C/D small nucleolar RNA (snoRNA), TB11C4C3, 3' partial". The record is from RNAcentral. Lineage: Eukaryota; Euglenozoa; Kinetoplastea; Trypanosomatida; Trypanosomatidae.